This is a non-coding RNA of Gossypium raimondii (Peruvian cotton), 139 nucleotides long. Lineage: Eukaryota; Viridiplantae; Streptophyta; Magnoliopsida; Malvales; Malvaceae. The record is from Rfam.
UGUUAAAAAUCUCAUCCACUUGUACUGUUAAAAACUAGUGUGACUGACAAAAUAACCAGACAGUGAUACAUGAUGCGCCACGUGUUCAUGAUGUACAAGGACCAGUUUUUAAUAGUAAAAAUGUAUGAAACUUUUAAUA